AUACGGAGGAUGCGAGCGUUAUCCGGAUUUAUUGGGUUUAAAGGGAGCGUAGGCGGGAGCUUAAGUCAGCGGUUAAAUGGUGCGGCUCAACCGUGCCCUGCCGUUGAAACUGGGUUUCUUGAGAGUGCAAGAGGCGGAUGGAAUUCAUGGUGUAGCGGUGAAAUGCUUAGAUAUCAUGAAGAACUCCGAUCGCGAAGGCAGUCCGCUGGGGCACGUCUGACGCUGAUGCUCGAAGGUGCGGGAAUCAAACAGGAUUAGAUACCCUGGUAGUCCGCACGGUAAACGAUGAUUACCCGCUGUCGGCGGUAGACAGUCGGCGGCCAAGCGAAAGCGGUAAGUAAUCCACCUGGGGAGUACGCCGGCAACGGUGAAACUUAAAGGAAUUGACGGGG
This 392-nucleotide ribosomal RNA is filed under the name uncultured bacterium. RNAcentral's name for it is "partial 16S ribosomal RNA". It matches the Rfam family "Bacterial small subunit ribosomal RNA", at positions 523 to 918 of the family's 1533-position model. The record is from RNAcentral.